RNAcentral lists this ribosomal RNA (492 nucleotides) under uncultured bacterium. Its description in RNAcentral is "partial 16S ribosomal RNA". It matches the Rfam family "Bacterial small subunit ribosomal RNA", at positions 29 to 507 of the family's 1533-position model. The record is from RNAcentral.
AGUGAACGCUGGCGGUAGGCCUAACACAUGCAAGUCGAACGGCAGCACAGUAAGAGCUUGCUCUUACGGGUGGCGAGUGGCGGACGGGUGAGGAAUACAUCGGAAUCUACUUUUUCGUGGGGGAGAACGUAGGGAAACUUACGCUAAUACCGCAUACGACCUACGGGUGAAAGCAGGGGAUCUUUGGACCUUGCGCGAUUGAAUGAGCCGAUGUCGGAUUAGCUAGUUGGCGGGGUAAAGGCCCACCAAGGCGACGAUCCGUAGCUGGUCUGAGAGGAUGAUCAGCCACACUGGAACUGAGACACGGUCCAGACUCCUACGGGAGGCAGCAGUGGGGAAUAUUGGACAAUGGGCGCAAGCCUGAUCCAGCCAUACCGCGUGGGUGAAGAAGGCCUUCGGGUUGUAAAGCCCUUUUGUUGGGAAAGAAAAGCAGCAGGUUAAUACCCCGCUGUUCUGACGGUACCCAAAGAAUAAGCACCGGCUAACUUCGUG